AAGACAUAGUCAAUGGUGUACAAGUCUCCUCCUUUUGGCCAUUAGGUUCAAGUUGAUCCAGAUAGUCUUGAUACUCACCAGAUUAGGGAUUCUUAGCUUUACUUUCUACAUCAGACUGAGGCUCUACAAUCAAUUGAUACAAUUGGGGCUUAGUACACUUAUGGCCAGGAGUGUACUUAGCUACAAACCAAAAGCACAACCUAUUCUUUCUCCUAUCUUCCAUCUCACAUUGAGAAAGAAACUUAAC
This 247-nucleotide long non-coding RNA is filed under the name Gossypium raimondii (Peruvian cotton). Its description in RNAcentral is "long non-coding RNA (GRAI_LNC007732)". Lineage: Eukaryota; Viridiplantae; Streptophyta; Magnoliopsida; Malvales; Malvaceae. The record is from RNAcentral.